GUCUGCAUCUUUGUCAUUCUCCCACCUUCUGGGACAGCAGGUUUUUUGAGGAGUAUUGGGUAUUUAAGAGAUAGAAGAAGUUAAUUUCUGUUUCCUCAUCAAUAUUCACUUGUUAAUGACAGCAAUUACUGCUUGCUUCUAUUUUUUUUAUGGAAAGGGCACAUUUGCUUGAUUUAAUUAGGACCACUUUUUAAGAUAGAACAAGGCAUCUGCACAUAUGUACUCAAGAGUGGUUUUGACAGCAUGGAUAACACCAUUGCAAGUCAAGCUAACAACAAACAAUAGCAAUCUCAGCAAGGAGAGCAGAGGGGAAAUGAAGCCCUGCUCCUAGAGGAUGAGCACCUCAGGAUUCAUUCCAGGCUAAUGUGGUUUGAUGCACCAAGGGCCCCGAAAAAGUCACCUUGAACAUUCCUCGAAAAAUUUCUUUGCCCAAUAAACAACAGGAAGCAGUUUGGAGAAAAACUAUGCAAAUAUUCCCAAAUAUUUUUAUAAAUGUUUCUUUACAUUCAAAAGGGAAUAUGAUAUCGAGAUUUGCAUUGUUAUGGAUCUUGUUCUAUUGAUACAACUCUAAGGUACUGAACACAAACCUAAGCUUUGACAUGCUUCCUAUGAUGUUUUGGGCUUCCUCAGUGCCUUCUAAACCCGUUCCUGUUUUUGCUGUGCUGCUAUGAGACUGUUUUCUGGUCGCUUGUUGACUUCUUGCCUAACUCAAAAUGCAUAGUAUCUCUCUUGUUCUCAUCUGACUCCUCUUUGAAGCUGUGUAAAUUUGAAGAUUGUUGUACCUGAUGGCUUUCUUUUAAAGCCUAAUAAACGGUUCUACACCA
Long non-coding RNA from Myodes glareolus (Bank vole), 824 nucleotides. RefSeq lists it as uncharacterized. NCBI's taxonomy places the organism in Eukaryota, Metazoa, Chordata, Mammalia, Rodentia, Cricetidae. The record is from RefSeq and is a predicted model, not a curated record.